RNAcentral lists this ribosomal RNA (1064 nucleotides) under Mycolicibacterium tusciae. RNAcentral's name for it is "bacterial SSU rRNA". It matches the Rfam family "Bacterial small subunit ribosomal RNA", at positions 56 to 1136 of the family's 1533-position model. The record is from RNAcentral. Lineage: Bacteria; Bacillati; Actinomycetota; Actinomycetes; Mycobacteriales; Mycobacteriaceae.
UGCAGUCGAACGGAAGGCCCUUUCGGGGGUACUCGAGUGGCGAACGGGUGAGUAACACGUGGGUGAUCUGCCCUGCACUUUGGGAUAAGCCUGGGAAACUGGGUCUAAUACCGGAUAUACCUCAUGGACUGCAUGGUUUGUGGGGGAAAGCUUUUGCGGUGUGGGAUGGGCCCGCGGCCUAUCAGCUUGUUGGUGGGGUGAUGGCCUACCAAGGCGACGACGGGUAGCCGGCCUGAGAGGGUGACCGGCCACACUGGGACUGAGAUACGGCCCAGACUCCUACGGGAGGCAGCAGUGGGGAAUAUUGCACAAUGGGCGCAAGCCUGAUGCAGCGACGCCGCGUGAGGGAUGACGGCCUUCGGGUUGUAAACCUCUUUCAGCAGGGACGAAGCGCAAGUGACGGUACCUGUAGAAGAAGGACCGGCCAACUACGUGCCAGCAGCCGCGGUAAUACGUAGGGUCCGAGCGUUGUCCGGAAUUACUGGGCGUAAAGAGCUCGUAGGUGGUUUGUCGCGUUGUUCGUGAAAACUCACAGCUCAACUGUGGGCGUGCGGGCGAUACGGGCAGACUUGAGUACUGCAGGGGAGACUGGAAUUCCUGGUGUAGCGGUGGAAUGCGCAGAUAUCAGGAGGAACACCGGUGGCGAAGGCGGGUCUCUGGGCAGUAACUGACGCUGAGGAGCGAAAGCGUGGGGAGCGAACAGGAUUAGAUACCCUGGUAGUCCACGCCGUAAACGGUGGGUACUAGGUGUGGGUUUCUUCCUUGGGAUCCGUGCCGUAGCUAACGCAUUAAGUACCCCGCCUGGGGAGUACGGCCGCAAGGCUAAAACUCAAAGAAAUUGACGGGGGCCCGCACAAGCGGCGGAGCAUGUGGAUUAAUUCGAUGCAACGCGAAGAACCUUACCUGGGUUUGACAUGCACAGGACGCUGGUAGAGAUAUCAGUUCCCUUGUGGCCUGUGUGCAGGUGGUGCAUGGCUGUCGUCAGCUCGUGUCGUGAGAUGUUGGGUUAAGUCCCGCAACGAGCGCAACCCUUGUCUCAUGUUGCCAGCACGUAAUGGGUGGGG